GUGCUUGCUUCAGCAGCAUGUAUCUUUUAAUUGGAUGAUUCAGAGAUUAGCAUGGCCUGCGUGCAAGGAUGAUAAGCAAAUUUGUGAAGUGUUCCAUAUUUUU
Molecule: small nuclear RNA, 103 nt
Organism: Phyllostomus discolor (pale spear-nosed bat)
Lineage: Eukaryota; Metazoa; Chordata; Mammalia; Chiroptera; Phyllostomidae
Source: RefSeq, a predicted model, not a curated record